AAUCAUUUUGUUGUACAAGUCAGCAUGAGUUAUCAAAAGGACAUGAAGGCACCCUAACAUUAUGGAAACAAAAAUUUAAAAAAUUUGCUGAUUUAGUAUGCUGGUAUAUAGAUGUAUGAAUAAAAGUGCUCACAUGGUCAGUUUUGGUCUACACUGUCAAAUAAUUUUGUUGCACAAGUCAGCAAGAGGUAUCAAAACUACUGAAAUUUUGUUACGUAUCAAUAUUUUGAAUAAAAGGAGGACAUAUGCUGGCACCCUAAAUUUA
RNAcentral lists this long non-coding RNA (265 nucleotides) under Mytilus galloprovincialis (Mediterranean mussel). The record is from RNAcentral. Lineage: Eukaryota; Metazoa; Mollusca; Bivalvia; Mytilida; Mytilidae.